Myotis davidii is the source of this 154-nucleotide long non-coding RNA. RefSeq lists it as uncharacterized. The transcript is spliced from 2 exons. Lineage: Eukaryota; Metazoa; Chordata; Mammalia; Chiroptera; Vespertilionidae. The record is from RefSeq and is a predicted model, not a curated record.
GAAGCGGGAGGCAUCACCGCGGGCCUCAGUUUCUCCCCUUUGAAAUGGAGGGGCGCUCUCUCCUGGUCCUGAAUUGAGGCUGUUCUGUUCCCCGAGAACCCCUGAAGCUGGGAAAGUCUCACUCUGUACUAGCUGACAGAGGCUGAGGGGAGAG